UCUCUCCUUAUGUCAGAGAUCAGACAUCUCUUUGGGCGAGUCAGACUCAGGGGUUUACAGUCCUUUCAACUGCCUUGACUAAUCUGCUCCCACCUGAUGUGUGGGCAGGUAACAAGUAUAAAGAUGUUUCUCCUACCAAUUUGCUUUGCAAAGCUGAUGGUGUACAGCAGGCCAGACUCCUGGGUGAAACCCAAGCCUUGCCGAAAUCUGCAGGUUCAUCCCAAGCACAGAUUGGACCCUGACUGCAUGUGGGUAGGAGCUGGAUGAGUAAGGAGGUGUUCUUUCUUACUGCAUCUACCACCGAAUCAGAAUAGAAUUGGGAAAACGUUCAUUAGGAAAGUAUAAUGUAAUUAAUCCAUUUUUCGCAUGAUGUUUUUCUUCAGAAAUAAGUUAGGGCUUUACUCAGACCACUAGUACCCCCAACCCCAUCCCCAAUACUGCCUGCAAAAGAAGAACAGAAUGAAUGCAGCUGUUGUGUUACUUCAGUUUCCCCUUUAUGUAUGCUUAAGUGACUAACCCUGAAUUCCCUGACUGGGAUACAAUAGUUCAAUAAAGUCAUGAAGACCUUCCAGAAAUACAUACACAAACAGAAUGUGGUACGCUCCUGCAGAAAGAAACAUAAGGAAAAAUGAAAAAAAUAUAUAUAUUUAACAUAGAAAUUGCAAAGCAAAAGCCAAGUAUAAGAGAAACCAUUUGAAAAAGCCUACCACCACAAAAAAAAUGGCCUUGUGUUAGAGUUCUGAAGCAGGUUCCAAAAAGCAAACCCCAAAAUGUGUAGGACAAGAUCAGAACAUUAAUAAAUAAUGUAUGUUCUCCAUCACAGAGAGUUUAAUUUAUCCUAUCAAUAUGAGUUAAUUAAUAGUUAAAAAGGACACUGUGAUACCCAUGUGGGAAGUCCUAUGAAAUUAAAAUUCAAGCAGUUUAAAAUGUGGUAGAUUGCUGUCUAUUAAAAAACAUGUUAAGGGAUUUACUGUAUUGCUAUCUUAAUUUUACUUUAAGCAGCAAGACUUUGAUGUGCAUUUAAACAUUACAGUGUGGCAUUUGCAAUCCAAACGUUGUGGAAUUAAAUCCCACCAAGCAUGGUAAAAUCAGGGGAAAUAACUGAUUAUACACAAAAUUAACACAGAUAUCUUUUAUGAAAUGCUAAGACGAAGCAAAAAGCAUUACCUAAAUUUCAGUUUCUCUCAUCCAAGCAUAUUUUACUGAAUCAGUAAAAUUAAUUUUUAACUAUGUGACUUUCACCAUAGCCCCUUCCUUUUAAAAUUAUUUUAGAUUUAAAUAAUAUAAUGACUUUUACACAUACAAAAUUAUUGCUGUUCUACUAGAGCUUUCAGAGUAGUGUACCAAUAUCUGCCCUGAGAGUACUUUAAAAUAUGCAAAUCUAAGUGAGUAAACUGGCAAAGUCAACACGUUUCUCUGCAGUGAGACAAUGACAGAAGUUCUGCUCAUGCACUCAUAUCCUUUUGAUUAAACAGUUUAAUUUUAUUUUUGGACAUUUAAACUAACUCAGAGUAGGAUUAACUAAAUAACCAUGGUCUUCAUAAAUUACAAAGGAUGAAGCAUUCAAGCUGUCUGUUGGCUGAACCUGGGCUGUUCUUUCUGAACACACCAUGUCCAGAUUAUUUAAUCUUUAUUUUUUUACAGUUUUAGCGGAUUCAGUUAGGUUUUGGUGUAAGGAAGUUUUAGUGAUACAAUCUGUUCAACAGACCUCUGUAUUGUGAAAGAGCUUCUGUAGGAAGUGGCAUCAUUCCUGGUACUUUAAACUUAAAAUGAGAAGAAAAUCCUUUGAGAAAACACCUUUGUAUGUGCAUUACUUUAAAUAUGUACUUAAACACACCUACUCUAAAUAGGUAUUUUUAAUUUGCUGCCAUUCAAAAUAAUUUUACCACUGAGAAAAGUAACAGUCGCCAUUAAACUACAAUAGUCUGUAUUUUGUAGCAAAGCUGGAUAAUUUGGGUGAGGUUCUAAGGGAAUUGAUGGAAAAACUGAUACAGAAAAUAAAUCAGCUCUCCCAGGGUAUCACAGACAGCUAGCAUUUGGGAGGCCCUGGUUGCCCACCAGAAGACAGUGGUCUUCUGUCUCUGCAUCUUCGAAGAGGAGACGUUUGGUGACGUCCUUUUCACAGUAGUUCCCUCUUUGAUAUUAACUAUGCUUUCUUAACUUCUUUGCAAGGCAAACAUUGCUUUUGCUCUAUGACAGAUCGCUUUAAAAAUUCAAGUGGACAGGCAUUUUUAAUUAAAGUCAAAACAAAGUCAAAUAAGCCUGAAAUAAACUGCAUUUUAGUUUAGCGCAGCAUUAGCUCUUAAAUAAAUAGUGAGCAGCCUUGGAGCUCUGGGCUGUCUCUGUACAGCAGAUGGCAUUACAGGUAAUAUUUAUCAUACUCCAAUCCUGAGGCUAAGAUAGUAGGGAGGGAGUACUGACGUCAGCUACAAGUGAAUCAGUCUUAAUACAAGCUGAAAAACUGCUUGCGCCUUCAACAGUUGAUUACAUUGUACAGCAUUUCUGCUUAGUGCUCCCCAUUGCACUUAUUAGUCUGUCUGAGCAAGCCUAGCAGGAAGAGUUCAUUUUGUUUUGCAGCUUAAACAAACUGAUGUAAAUUGAUCUUGGACUUUGAGGUGGGAAGAUUCCAUCCAGCUGCUGUAACCAGGGGAAUGCCCUUUGCUCCAGUUCUUGUGCCAAAUUUGUGCAUUUGAGAAUUUUAAACAAAUACCACUUGGCAGGAUAUCGGCCCUCAGGGUACAGGAAUAAUACUGAGCGAGACAGCAGGGCACAUACUGGGAGGGAUUUACACGGAUAUCUAUCGGCACUGAUAGUGAACAGUGAGGAACACCAAUCCUCUCAUAUUUAAUUUAAAACGGUGUUCUGUUUUUUUUUUUUUUCCUCACAGGAGCUGAGUGAUCUUCUGAAUGAAAACCAAUAGCAGUUUUUCAUCCGGGUGAACCGCAGGAGUGAAAGAGUUCAACAAAGGUUAAGAAUGAUUACGUCAAUGAUGUUGUCUUCCUCGGCUGUCUGGGCCAACCUGAGUGGGUGACCAGGGACGAGGGAUUAUGAACUGCUCAUGGCACGCCUAGGAGCCCUUACUGAAACAUGGAGUCAUGCUCUGCCAGGGGUAUUUCAGGGGUAUUUGACAGCCUUGCUCUCACACUGAGUUUCUCAAUCUGUGAGGCAUGGCUGGUUGACACAGCGCUACAGCGAGCGUCCCAUCCUGCUCAGAAACACACCGUGAUGAGGUGUGGGGAGCUCGUGUUUGGUUGGAAGCAAGGUGGGGGAUUAUAGAUUGAGAAGGGAUGCAGACUCAGCCCACGUAGGACAGAACACCUUGCUCCAUCUGGAGCUGUCUCUAGGCACCCAGAUUUAUAGGCAGUAUUGAAAUCUAGUGCAUUAUAGGAGAAGGGACAAGGCCGAAUUGGACUUAGCCUAGAAGGGACAAGAAGGAGGAAGAAAGAAUGAGUGAAGGAAAAGAAUGACUCUCUUGAGGAAACUGAAAAUAUGCACUUCCUUUUCCUGUUAUAGAUAUGGGAGGGGGUGAGGCAGCAAGGUUUGCUGCUGAGAAAAGCCGCCCUGUGAGUACUCUCUGUCAUCUCCCACACCCUGACAGGCCAUGGCAGCAGCACACCCUUCCCUCCAUCCAGCCUGCUGAGAAAAUCAGCUAUGCGGCAGUUUCCUAACUCAACAAGGCUGCACUUGGGUUGGUCUUUGUAGUCCCUGCACUUUCCUUCCCCUCAUUUUGAAUUACAAACGGGCAGAUUAUUUUUUAAUAAGUUAGGAUACCAUUUGAGCUUUAGGCUGAAAUGCUUCAUGCAUUGUUUCAACCUUUAGCACUUCAAAGGAAAGGAAUAUU
Molecule: long non-coding RNA, 3841 nt
Organism: Oxyura jamaicensis (ruddy duck)
Lineage: Eukaryota; Metazoa; Chordata; Aves; Anseriformes; Anatidae
Exons: 2
Source: RefSeq, a predicted model, not a curated record